Long non-coding RNA from Hemicordylus capensis (graceful crag lizard), 3271 nucleotides. RefSeq lists it as uncharacterized. The record is from RefSeq and is a predicted model, not a curated record. The transcript is spliced from 4 exons. NCBI's taxonomy places the organism in Eukaryota, Metazoa, Chordata, Lepidosauria, Squamata, Cordylidae.
UAAGACCUGGAGCUACCAGAACAGCAGGUCUUUCUCUAGUACCAUUAAAUGGCUUGCAUUAGCCUCAUUUAAGAUUUCUUUACUUCAUGAGCCGAGCUUCGGGAGGGGGUGGGGGCAUUUUAAAAUCUUGUCUCUGGGGCCACGGCAACCUUGCUACACCCCUGAGAGUGUGCAUUCACACUCCUUCCUUACUCGGAAGGAAUCCCUUUGAGAUCCUUGAACCCAAUCCACACACAAAGCUGGCUUUGUCUUGCAAAUUCUAGCUUAUCUUGCUGUAUUUCUGGGUUUUUGAAAUGCUGGUUUUAAGCUGCUUUUUCUGAAAGCACUGGAGCAAAUAGGGAGAGGCAUAGACUUUGAAUCAUUAGCAUGAUAAGAGGGAUACUCUUUAGAAAUGCAGAUUUAGCUCUUUAGUAAUCUCUCUCCCACCCCCACCCCCAAUGGCUAGAAGGAAAACACGGAGGCAUGCCAUGUGAACUUGCAUCAAAACAAAAACCUGAGAGCAGAGGGGAGGGGCUGCUUUCCUCAAUGCUGCAAGUGUGAUUCGAAGAGGCUUUGCUCAACAUUUACCCUGCAGCAUGAAGCCAUGUGCGAAUAACUCCCUGGAGGGCGAUUCAAAAGUUGAUUUACAGUUCUGUUAUGGCUGCCAACCAUCACAGCUUCAUUGCAGCUAGAUGACACCCUGUCAAAUAUCAUCCCAACCAACAUCAGAAACUUCAUCUCACCCAAAGUGCAGCAAAGUGGAACCAGAAAAAUUAGGAGAAUCUUCAUCUUGGUUAAUGUUGUCAAUGCAGCUGGAAAAAUUAAGGAGAUCAAGAGGAAAGUAGAAGCAACCUCAGUAUCAGCCUCUUCUCCAAAGACCAUUCAAAUAACUAUUCAAAGCAUGUCCCUAUGUUCCUAUCCCUGUCACCUACUAAGAUCACCUGGAGAGGUCCAGUUAUGGUUGCCACCUGCUCUUUUGGUGGAAACUUGAGGAGGGAGAGAGAGAGAGAUGUUCUCUUCCACCAGUUCCCAGUGGUACAUGUGUCUCUAUAGGUAAGGAAAUACCAGGAGCUGUGGUGGCUGCUUGUCACUGGAGCAGCAAGGAGGAGAGGGAGCAGGAGAGAAGGAAAUACACCCUUAUUGUCAAGCAAGGUGAAGAAGGAGAGGAAUGCUGGCAGCGGACAGAAGAAGGAAGCAAGACACAAAGAAAGAAAACAAAUGAAUGAAUGAACCGGCCAGCCAGCCACAGCAGUGAAUACUACCAUGUAUCUUCCUAAGAAAUAAGUUGCGGAAGCUUAGUGAUAGCUUGAAGACACCCUGUCAAAUCUCAUCCCAACCAAAAUCAGAAACUUCAUCUCACCCAAAGUGCAGCAAAGCAGAACCAAAACAAUUAGAAGAAUCUUCAUCUUGCUGAAUGUUGUCAAUGCAGCUGGAAAGAUCAAUGAGAUCAAGAGGAAAGUAGAAGCAACCUCCAAAUCAGCCUCUUCUCCACAGAGAAGUAAGUGCUGACUGUUCAAAACACAGUGAUAUAGGCCGAGGGCAUAAAUCAGUGAAAGGAAACACCCACUUAUUGGAAAGUAAACAGGAGAUGGUUAUCUGCAAGUGAUCUGCAUAUACUUUAUUUGUAUGCCAACCUUUAAAAAUAAGAUUUGCACAGAGCAGUUCACAGAACAAAAAUGUGAACUGUUAAUUGAGCGGAAAGGAAGUAAGAGGAAGUCUGCAGCAAGAGAAAGAUGUAGCAGAUACAAAUGUACAGCUCUGUAAACAGGUACAGUCAUUUACAUAUGAAACUGGUACAGUCAUUUACAUGUGAUGCUGAACUCAGGUACAGUCCACUUCCUAUCUAUACCAUGCAUUUGAAGGGUCUAUAUCCAGGUUCAUCUUUAACCUUUUAACAUGCACAAAACAUGAGUAUGAAAGUACAGGCAUCUGCAUACUCAUACAGCAUGAUUUCUGAAUUGGUCUAAUGUGCAGGUUGCAUUUAGGGAUGCACAGGCAUCCUUUUCCUUAUCCUGGAGCUGUCUGCUGAUCUGCUUCCAUUCUAAACAGACAUGCACAAAUUGUCAUUGCUUUGUCAGUGACUGAUGCCAUCCCUCAAAAAGCAGCCCCAAGUGUGCCCUUUGCUGCUGCCUCCAUUCCCUUCUGCCCCAAAGCAACCCAGGAGCUUGCCUUGGGGUCAGGGAAGUCAGUAGCCCUACUAGAUAUGCUGGCUGCAGGUGCUCCAAGCCCCUCUCCGGCCAGCCUCCAUUGCCACAUUCCUUUCUUUCUGCCUCUCCUCAGGAACCAAGAUUGGACAGGGUUAAGGCUGGGUUUUGGCAGCAGUAGGUGUACCAGACAGAGAUGUUGCCAAAUUUCUCUUGUAUCUACAUCUCUCUGGAGAAUAGGAAUUCCUCUCAACAGGAACGGAACUCAAUUCAGCAGCUUUCUUGCGUGUUUUGCAGCUUUCUUGCCUGUUUUGUCUUUAAUUUCUCAUAAGGAUAUGCAUUUGAUGUUGUUAAUUUCUCCCUUUCCCCAGAUGUCAUUGUUGUAUUGUGAUUUCAUUCUUAUCUCCAUUCAUAUUUUCCCCAGAUUGCCUUUUAAGAGUCCAAAAUGUUUUGUCUUAGAACCAUUUCCAGUUGGAAAUGCAUGAAACAUUAUGGAGUCAUUCAGGGAUAGGUGAAUUCAGAAGCCAUUCACACAAGCCCACAAACACACACACAAUGGCUGUGUGUGUGUGUGUGUGCGCGCGCGCGCACUUGUGUGAAUGGCUACAAUGUGUGAAUGGCUUAUCUCUGUGUGUGUGUGUUGUGUGAACAGCAGAAGUGUGUGUGUGUGUGUGUGUGUGUGUGUGUGUGUGUGAAUGGCUACAGUGUGAGUGUCUCUCUGUGUGAAUGGCUGCAGUGUGUGCACCCACACUUUGCCUUGGUCAUUCAGUGAGACAUUGGGCUGCGGAGGGAUGCACUCAGCAGUCAUUUAACAGGUGCAGUUUCCCUAAUAACUUCCUAGAAAUGCCCUUGAUGAAUUUCUGCCUGAUUCUUCUCUGAUUAGACAAAGUGUGGGUGCAGUUCUAAAGCCACCAUCAAAUAUGAGACUCUACAAAAUCUUCACAGCUUAUGUGGCACAGAACUUAAGAUGGUCACCUUAACUUGCAAUUUCCAUUCUUUUUAGAGCAUGAGUCAAAAUGUAAAGCAUCUAAACUCUCAUCUUAAACCAGAAGUUUUUGGAUUACUGAUAUAUUUUGGCAGUCACAACAUUUUGGAUACAUUUCAUUUAUGAGCUAAUGUGUGUUGCACAAUGAAUUAAUUUCAAAACA